CCUCUCCCUCACAAUGUGAGCUCUCCUUGUCCAUAGGAGGCGUGCUCCACAUCUUUCUUCUCUUCCCCAAGCCGAAGGGAAGAAUCCCUUUCUCCUCUCUUCUCCAGCCAGCCUACUCCCUCCUCCCUUCCUUCCCCACUCCUCCCCAGGUGCCUCCUUGCUGCACCACGCCCUUCACCACCUUCAUGGCUGCCCUUUGAUUUAGGGCUUUGAGGAAGAAGGAAAGGAGACAAGAAGAGGGAGAACAAGAAAGCUUCCCCAACUUUUCCCUUAACCAAAUCUUUGUGAUUUGACCAUAGAGCAGGUUGCAGCACAAAUCCACCGGAGAUAGCCUCGCGCCACCUCCCUCGCAACGGUUGAGGCGAGUACACCGGGCAACAAGACCUAGAUUGCUCCCUUAAUAUUAUGUCCAUGUUCACGUUAUUCCUGUACAUUCAUGCAAUGGUGAACAUAUAACUCCCUAGUGUACAUUUCAAUACACCAUACCACUGGUAUGUGAUAGGGAUUGGUUUUUCUUGGUUCUUGAUAACAAAUCCAUCUUGAGUGAAUCUUCCAAGUUCAA
Long non-coding RNA from Triticum dicoccoides, 562 nucleotides. RefSeq lists it as uncharacterized. The transcript is spliced from 2 exons. The record is from RefSeq and is a predicted model, not a curated record. NCBI's taxonomy places the organism in Eukaryota, Viridiplantae, Streptophyta, Magnoliopsida, Poales, Poaceae.